Non-coding RNA from Manis javanica (Malayan pangolin), 3274 nucleotides. The record is from RefSeq and is a predicted model, not a curated record. NCBI's taxonomy places the organism in Eukaryota, Metazoa, Chordata, Mammalia, Pholidota, Manidae.
AAUGCGACCUGGGAGACCCGGGUCCCCCCAGACCUGCUGCGGGCCAUCUGGGCGCGUCAGGCGGGUCUGGGAUGCUUCUAUUCCUGCCUGUUAGAGGUGGGCUUCUGUGCAGGUUAGGUGUAGGGUUCCGAUGUUAGACGUAAAAGUUCCUCCAGCAGGUCGGGGGGAGGGUGUGUCACUGAUACACAGCAUUAUUACUGCUUUUGUGGAGUCUUGCCAUUUGAUCAUUAGGGGCCUGGGGCUCCAAGGUUUAAUUCUGAGAUAAGUCUGUGGAUUAUACAAGCACAUUCUUUGCAUACAGAGAUUCUUGCUUACUCAGAAUCAUAGACUAAUAGGGGCCGAGAAGACCUCAGAGGUCAUUCCACCCCACCUCCCACCCAAAUGCAAAAUCCCUCCCCCGAAGCCUCGGAGCCCAGGCAGCUUCCUGUGCGGCGUACAGUCACUGGCUUUCGCCGGGCGCCUCAGGUUGAGGGGCUGGUUCUCCUUUUUCACCCUAAGUUCUCCAGACCAAGAGGAGCGCCCACAGCGGGUGCUCAGUGAGUGUGACGGCUCAUGCCCUCCAGGCUGCCCUGAGAGCCCCAGCAGUGAGGCGCUCCUCGCGGUGUCCUGGCGGCUGCGGCCCUCUGGCCUCCUGACGCUCUCCCACGCCCGGCUGCAGACAGUCGCCUCCAGUCCCAACCCUUCAGUGCUGCCUUUGGGGUCCUGUGGGAUAAGGCUGCUUCCUUUCGCCCAGGAAAGCUCAUCUUGUCUUCACCACCUUCACCCUCAGCCUUCCUGCUUCCUAAACCUCUUCACUGUGGUCUCUUCUCUGAACAGACUCCAAUCUGUGUACCUACAGGCAUUACGAGCGCUUUCUGUCUGUCAACCUGCCUUCUUCCAUCAAGUCUGAAACACAAACCUGGGAGAUGUGGGUCAUUAUCCCUGCUUCACUUAGGACGGAACUGAGGUCCGAUUCUUCAAAUGUGCAAUCCUGGGGCCCCCCCAAGGCACGUGGGCCAGGUCCAGCUGGUGACUCAGAGAGGGCAGCUGCAGGCUCGUGGCUAAGAGCACCUGGCGUGGAUUCUGUGGCAAGGCGGCCAAGCGGGGCUGAUUCUGGAUGAGUGCCGGAUGCGCCCCGUGUCACCUGUGCAUGACGGCCACAGCAGGUGACCCAGCCAAGGAGGUUCCUGUCCCUGGGAAGGCACAGGAGCCUGGAUGUCAGACACGCUUGGUGGCUGCUAGCGCCGUGGACCGGGAACGCACGCUCCCCACGGGACGUCUCCACGAGAGGCCCUCCUGGGCACCCCAAGUAAACAAACGCUUAAGGGAAACUUCUGCGCUUGUCAGGCCCCAGGACCCACAGAGGAGACAUUGCACAUGGGAUAUCCAGGGUGACUGAUCCAUAAUCCUACCUACUGAGAUCUGCACUCCGGAUGGACUGCCACCCCACUGAGAUCUGCACUCCGGAUGGACUGCCAACACCCUGUCCACUGAGCCGGGCCAUGAACAGCCUCCGGAUCCACUAGGUGGCAGAAGGCACACGGGGCCAAAAUGAGGCCAUGUGGAUGCCAGCCAGUGGGUUGCUGACUUAGGGUGACACAGCUGUCUGCCAAGAGGGGGCACGAUCCUGGCUUCUUUCUACCACUUUUACCUAUGUGCAGUGUAGUCACUCGAUGGCUGUAUAUAUCACUAGGUGCUUGCCACAGGAGUGUGGUCACCCCAAGACACAGGUAAACCGCACCACGGAGAGAAAUCUUGUCUGUAUCCUGAGAGGCUACAGAGAGUGGAAGGUGCUCGAAGUUGCUUGAGGUUCCAGCAGAAGUCCAAGGAAGCAUCCCUGCUCCUUGAGGAGUUUGUCUCUCUCAUCUCUGUGCAGGCGGCACCAGUGGAGAUUCUUAGUGGUCUCAUCCAAGCCAGAGUUCAUUCGCACAUAGGAAGCUAAGAAAGGAAGAGAAAUAAGAACAUAGGAUUUUCUCCUUUCUUUUCCCUGAAUCCUUAGAGAUUGUUGUAUCACCAGUUUGUCGUUAGCUCUUCUUUCCUGGUGGAGGGACCAGGGAGGGAGGACCAUGGGGUGAGUCCCAGAGCACCAGCUGAGGCUCAUUCGUUCACCAGACACAAGUGGUGGGCAGGUUCGUGGGAGAACCCUGCCCCUCUUGAUGGUCUGACUAUUAUGAACCCCUAAACUCCCGCCCUUCUCUGGAAAUCCAGACCCAACUCGGAUUGUUCUAGUUAGGUUCUUCUAAGUGAGAGAGGAUGUCAGCAAAAGAUGGCCUAGAGAAAGGGUCUCCUGGUGUGGGCGGAGGUGUUUUCUGGGCUGAGAAUUCUCUCACCGAAUCCUUCCUCUUUGCUCUCUCCCAGUUAGAGCCUGGGCAGGUGUUUGGAGGUCCCAAGGGCAAGGGGGAAUUUCCUUUCUCCUCCUGCUCUUUAAUGGUCAUCGAAUCACAAGAAAAUACUCCGGGACUUUCCUCAUCCCUUGGCGGCCCUCUGCCUUCUCGAUUUCAAAUUCAGCCUUCAAAUGUGUGCACUUAGCCCCCGCCUCCCGCCCCGGAUCUGAGAAGGCUGGGGGUCAGGCUCUAGCCCUUCAGCCCGUGGGGGCCUCCGCGUGUGUGAGAAAGAUUCUCUCCUGGCGAAACUUCGGCACCUGAGGGGCAGUGGAGCCGCCGGGGACUGUGCGUGCGUGUCCCUGAGCCCCAGAUCCACGUGUGGAGAUCCUGACUUCAGUGGUGGGGCCUUCGGGAGGUGAGGAGUUCAUGAGGCUGGAGCCUCCCCCUCAGAAGGGCCUGGAGAACAAGCAGGCCCGCUCCCCACGUGAGGAUGCAGUGGGGGCAGCCCUCCCCGGGCCAGGGAGACAGCCCAGCGGGGACAGGUCGGUGCCGCGGCCUCAGACUCCAGCCUCUGGAACUGAGACGGAAGUUUCUUCCAUGCCACCCGGCCUGGCGACCUGCAGGGACAGAGACAGAACCCAGGUGCCCCCGCUGGGCAGCCCCAGCCCGUGCUGCCCCCUGCCGCCUGCAUGCCAGUCUGCGAGCUGUCGUCCCGGGCUCCCAGCUGACGGUCGCAUUCUGUGGACAGGCUGCACGAGUGCUGGCUCCUCGGGGGUCGGCGACUGCGUCCUGCCCUCCAGCCAUGAAGAUCGCUCUCGGCUGGUGGUCCUGAGUGACUGUCGCUUUUCACUGGGAGUCACUUUAAUGGGGAGGCCUGCUUGCUGCUUCCCGUCACUUGGCCUCAGCACCUCUGGGGUCAUGAAUUCUCCUUUGUCUUGUCUGGUGCUCCUGGCAUAUCAAUCCUUUCCAGU